AAGUUUUAGAUUUUUUGUUAUAAAAUUAGCACGAGUAGUUAAUUCAUCCUAGAGCUUGUACCAGCUCUGGUCUAGCCAACAAUCAGCAUGAGGUGCGAAACCUAGACACGCGUGGGAUUGCCAGCCUCGCCAGAGAGCUACUGCCGACCACCCGGAACGCAGAGGGCGGAUCUCGUGCACGUGUAGGGAGGAGUCGGAGACAGUACCGGCUCUGGAAAGCUCGUGUAGGAGAAAA
RNAcentral lists this long non-coding RNA (235 nucleotides) under Sorghum bicolor (sorghum). Its description in RNAcentral is "long non-coding RNA (SBIC_LNC002462)". Lineage: Eukaryota; Viridiplantae; Streptophyta; Magnoliopsida; Poales; Poaceae. The record is from RNAcentral.